CCUACGGGUGGCAGCAGUGAGGAAUAUUGCUCAAUGGGCGCGAGCCUGAACCAGCCACGUAGCGUGAAGGAUGAAUGCCCUACGGGCUGUAAACUUCUUUUAUAAAGGAAUAAAGUGAGGCUCGUGUGCCUUUUUGUAUGUACUUUAUGUAUAAGGAUAGGCUAACUCCGUGCCAGCAGCCGCGGUAAUACGGAGGAUACGAGCGUUAUCCGGAUUUAGUGGGUUUAACGGGAGCGUAGAUGGGUUGUUAAGUCAGUUGUGAAAGUUUGCGGCUCAACCGUAAAAUUGCAAUUGAUACUGGCAGUCUUGAGUACAGUUGAGGUAAGCGGAAUUCGUGGUGUAGCGGUGAAAUGCUUAGAUAUCACGAAGAACUCCGAUUGCGAAGGCAGCUUACUAAACUGCCACUGACAUUGAUGCUCGAAAGUGUGGGUAUCAAACAGGAUUAGAUACCCGAGUAGUC
This 460-nucleotide ribosomal RNA is filed under the name uncultured bacterium. Its description in RNAcentral is "partial 16S ribosomal RNA". It matches the Rfam family "Bacterial small subunit ribosomal RNA", at positions 338 to 795 of the family's 1533-position model. The record is from RNAcentral.